GGUUUCGUGGCCCAAUGGCAAGGCGUCUGACUACGAUCAGAGUUCGACUAAACGAACUCCCAAGCGCAAUCAGGAGAUUCUGGGUUCGACCCCCAGCGAGAUCA
This 104-nucleotide transfer RNA is filed under the name Xylaria arbuscula. Its description in RNAcentral is "tRNA-Arg". It matches the Rfam family "tRNA". Rfam says of the family: Transfer RNA (tRNA) molecules are approximately 80 nucleotides in length. Their secondary structure includes four short double-helical elements and three loops (D, anti-codon, and T loops). The record is from RNAcentral. Lineage: Eukaryota; Fungi; Ascomycota; Sordariomycetes; Xylariales; Xylariaceae.